Molecule: long non-coding RNA, 218 nt
Organism: Meriones unguiculatus (Mongolian gerbil)
Lineage: Eukaryota; Metazoa; Chordata; Mammalia; Rodentia; Muridae
Exons: 4
Source: RefSeq, a predicted model, not a curated record
GAUCCUCUGGAAUUGAAGUUAGACCAUUGUGAGCCAUCACAUUGUUUCUGGCCAUCAAACCCAGGUACUCUUGAAGAAUAACUUGUGCUCUUUACUACUGAGCUACCUCUCCAGAUCUCUUCACAAGCAUAGAGUCCUGCAUGAAAUGCUGCAAAUUUGAAGGCUUGCAUGAGACUUUUCAGGAGAGGACGACCCUCCAAACAAGCACACAGCCAACA